GAUGAACGCUGGCGGCGUGCCUAAUACAUGCAAGUCGAGCGAACAGACGAGGAGCUUGCUCCUCUGACGUUAGCGGCGGACGGGUGAGUAACACGUGGAUAACCUACCUAUAAGACUGGGAUAACUUCGGGAAACCGGAGCUAAUACCGGAUAAUAUAUUGAACCGCAUGGUACAAUAGUGAAAGACGGUUUUGCUGUCACUUAUAGAUGGAUCCGCGCCGCAUUAGCUAGUUGGUAAGGUAACGGCUUACCAAGGCAACGAUGCGUAGCCGACCUGAGAGGGUGAUCGGCCACACUGGAACUGAGACACGGUCCAGACUCCUACGGGAGGCAGCAGUAGGGAAUCUUCCGCAAUGGGCGAAAGCCUGACGGAGCAACGCCGCGUGAGUGAUGAAGGUCUUCGGAUCGUAAAACUCUGUUAUUAGGGAAGAACAAAUGUGUAAGUAACUAUGCACGUCUUGACGGUACCUAAUCAGAAAGCCACGGCUAACUACGU
This 496-nucleotide ribosomal RNA is filed under the name uncultured bacterium. RNAcentral's name for it is "partial 16S ribosomal RNA". It matches the Rfam family "Bacterial small subunit ribosomal RNA", at positions 28 to 506 of the family's 1533-position model. The record is from RNAcentral.